ACUCCUACGGGAGGCAGCAGUGGCGAAUUUUGGACAAUGAGCGCAAGCCUGAUCCAGCAAUGCCGCGUGAGUGAAGAAGGCCUUCGGGUUGUAAAGCUCUUUCAGUUGAGAAGAAAAAAUUGUGACUAAUGAUCACAAUUGAUGACGGUAUCAACAGAAGAAGCACCGCCUAACUACGUGCCAGCAGCCGCGGUAAUA
RNAcentral lists this ribosomal RNA (198 nucleotides) under uncultured Nitrosomonas sp. Its description in RNAcentral is "partial 16S ribosomal RNA". It matches the Rfam family "Bacterial small subunit ribosomal RNA", at positions 335 to 525 of the family's 1533-position model. Lineage: Bacteria; Pseudomonadati; Pseudomonadota; Betaproteobacteria; Nitrosomonadales; Nitrosomonadaceae. The record is from RNAcentral.